GCCAAACAGCUAGCUCAAUUAUUAGGAUUAACACCACAAUAUUUUCCAAUCUUACUUAACCAAACCACAAAUAAAUAAACCAUUUUCCUGCCUUAGUAUGGGCGACAGAAAAGGCACUAGAAGCAAUAGAACUAGUACCGCAAGGGAAAGCUGAAAAAGAAGUGAAAUAACCCAUUUAAGCUUAAAAAAGCAGAGACAAAUCCUCGUACCUUUUGCAUCAUGAUUUAGCCAGAAUUUCAGAGCAAAGAGAAGCUUUAGUUCUCACCCCCGAAACCAAGUGAGCUACCCCGAGACAGCCUUUAUUAGGGCCAACCCGUCUCUGUGGCAAAAGAGUGGGAAGAUCUCCGGGUAGCGGUGACAGACCUAUCGAACUUGGUAAUAGCUGGUUGCCUAAAAAAUGGAUAUAAGUUCAGCCUCGUACUCCCCCGCCCACACAAACAUUAUUAUACUAUGAGAUGAGGAAAAAUACGAGAGUUAGUCAAAGGGGGUACAGCCCCUUUGAACCAGGACACAACCUGACCCAGGAGGUUAAAGAUCAUACUCAACAAGAUACACCGCUUCAGUGGGCCUAAAAGCAGCCACCUAUAAAGAAAGCGUUAAAGCUCAGACGGACUUAAAAUCUAUUAUACUGAUAUGCCCAACCUAAACCCCUACUUAUAUUAGGCCAUUCCAUGCCCCCAUGGAAGAGAUACUGCUAAAAUGAGUAACAAGAAGGUAAGCCCUUCUCCCUGCCCACGUGUAAUUUAGAUCGGACCCGCCACUAAUAAUUAACGAACCCAAUUAAAGAGGGAAAAGUGGUAUACAAAAAAAUCAAGAAAAUCCCACACAAACCAAUCGUUAACCCCACACCGGAGGGCUCAAAGGAAAGAUUAAAAGAAUUGGAAGGAACUCGGCAAACACAAGCCUCGCCUGUUUACCAAAAACAUCGCCUCCUGCAAAAAUCAAUGUAUAAGAGGUCCUACCUGCCCAGUGACUAAGUUAAACGGCCGCGGUAUUCUGACCGUGCAAAGGUAGCGCAAUCACUUGUUUUUUAAAUAAAGACCUGUAUGAAUGGUGAAACGAGGGCUUAACUGUCUCCCUUUUCUGAUCAGUGAAAUUGAUCUACCCGUGCAGAAGCGGGUAUUAGUAUACAAGACGAGAAGACCCUAUGGAGCUUAAGACAAAAGGUCAACUGUGUUAAAAACCCCUAAUUAAAGGAAUUCAACAAAACAGUAACUGAUUAACGUCUUCGGUUGGGGCGACCACGGGGGAAAAUAAAUCCCCCAUGCUGAAUGGGAUAUGCUCCCUAAACAACGAGGCACACCUCUAAGUCACAGAACUUCUGACCAAAAGAUCCGGCAUUAGCCGAUCAACGGACCAAGUUACCCUAGGGAUAACAGCGCAAUCCUCUUCAAGAGUCCUUAUCGACAAGAGGGUUUACGACCUCGAUGUUGGAUCAGGACAUCCUAAUGGUGCAGCCGCUAUUAAGGGUUCGUUUGUUCAACGAUUAAAGUCCUACGUGAUCUGAGUUCAGACCGGAGCAAUCCAGGUCAGUUUCUAUCUGUAAAGCUACCUCUCCUAGUACGAAAGGACCGGAGACAUGAGGCCCCUGUUACCAACACGCCCCACUUCCACUUAAUGAAAUCAACUUAAUUAAAUAAAGAAGAGCAUGAAAUACCCAAAGAUAUUUGGAG
RNAcentral lists this ribosomal RNA (1673 nucleotides) under Hyphessobrycon flammeus. RNAcentral's name for it is "16S ribosomal RNA". It matches the Rfam family "Bacterial large subunit ribosomal RNA". The record is from RNAcentral. Lineage: Eukaryota; Metazoa; Chordata; Actinopteri; Characiformes; Acestrorhamphidae.